AAGUCUGACGGAGCAACGCCGCGUGAGCGAAGAAGGCCUUCGGGUCGUAAAGCUCUGUUGUCAGGGAACACCAAGUACCGGAGUAACUGCCGGUACCUUGACGGUACCUGACCAGAAAGCCACGGCUAACUACGUGCCAGCAGCCGCGGUAAUACGUAGGUGGCAAGCGUUGUCCGGAAUUAUUGGGCGUAAAGCGCGCGCAGGCGGUCCUUUAAGUCUGAUGUGAAAGCCCACGGCUCAACCGUGGAGGGUCAUUGGAAACUGGGGGACUUGAGUGCAGAAGAGGAGAGCGGAAUUCCACGUGUAGCGGUGAAAUGCGUAGAGAUGUGGAGGAACACCAGUGGCGAAGGCGGCUCUCUGGUCUGUAACUGACGCUGAGGCGCGAAAUUGUGGGGAGCGAACAGGAUUAGAUACCCUGGUAGUCCACGCCGUAAACGAGGAGUGCUAAGUGUUAGAGGGUUUCCGCCCUUUAGUGCUGCAGCAAACGCAUUAAGCACUCCGCCUGGG
Molecule: ribosomal RNA, 507 nt
Filed under: Bacillus sp. CPS3
Lineage: Bacteria; Bacillati; Bacillota; Bacilli; Caryophanales; Bacillaceae
Also listed under: 1 other name
Description: bacterial SSU rRNA
Rfam family: Bacterial small subunit ribosomal RNA
Source: RNAcentral